GUAUUACGCAAGCAUUAAAGCAGCUCUAGCAAGUCUAUAAUGAUUUGCUUCUGCCAUGAUAUUAAUCUUCUGCACAUGAUGUUCUCUUUUACAAAUGACCAUAACUUUACAUCAUCUUUGAAUUAUUUCUGUAAAUAUUAUCUUUUUUUUUUAAUUCUGAAAAUUCGUUACAGAACCUGUUCAAUAAAAAGUGGCGAUUAUAAAUGCACCUCAAUUACAACCAGUUAUUGGUGAUAAAGGAACUUGAACAACUUGAAAAUGAAGAGCCACUUGAAAAACCAAUUCAAAUUUAAAAAUUUUCUCAUAAAACAUCUCUUGUAAACCGCUAGAAACUUAUUUCUUCUUCCUCUACUACUACUACAACUGCUACUUCGCCUCUUGGCGUUUCUAACCUUCCUCUUUCUUUCUUCUUCUUAUUGCUUCGGCGUUCUAGAGGCCCUGGAAGGUUAUUUCCCUCGUUCGCCGUCUCACUCCAUCUCUUCGUCCUCAUCUCGAGGAACGAUUUCGAACUCGAACUCCUCUUCUUAUCCUUCGCCCAGCGUUUCUAGAAGAGUUCGACGACGACGUCGUCUCAAACCGCGUCGUUUCCUUCUUCUUCUUCUCCUCUCCAUCUUACGGUAAGCCCAUUCUAUUUCGAUCUCUUUCUUGUUUCGACGAUGCGGAAAACAGGUUUUCGAACGGACUUUAGAUUGAGAGUUGGACAAGGAGGAGCAGGAGGAAGGAGGAGAGGCGCCUUCUGGCACGACCGCGCGUUUUACUGGAGCAAAAUGAGUGUUGUGAUGUGAUGGUGGAGAAAGAGAGAGAAUGGGAGCGGUCUUUCUAGAAAUCUUUCGUUUUGGAGCGAGAUUUUCGAAAUCUUUAAAAUCGAUUAAUUAUUAAUGUCAAAUUUGAAGCUAACUUCAUGUCGAGCUGUCAUUUUAAUGAUUAAACGUCAAAUUUUUAUUUGUUAAUUUGUUUUAGAUGAAAUUGAAAAUAAAUAAUGAGAAAUGAAGGGAAGGUUAUGAAAUGACUUAUUUGGGGCGAGAUUUUCGAAAUGUUUAAAAUGGAUUAAUUGUUAAUGUCAAAUUUGAAUCUAACUUCAUGUUGAACUGUCAUUUGUGUGAUGUAAACGUCAAAUUUUUGUUUGUUAAUUUAUUGUUUGUUUGUUUGUUUUAGAUGAAAUUGGUAAUAAAAAAUGAGAAAUGAAGAGGAGUGAGAUGAAAAGUCGAAUUUACAUGCGAGGCAUGCCGCGGAUGGGGUCCGCGUCUUGUAAUUACAAGACCCUUCUCGGUGGUGUGCAAUUUCGAACGUGCUCCGGGGCCCUCCAUCUCUACCUAACUAUAAUUACAAUGAAAAAAUCGAAGGAAGAUUAAACCCAAAUUGCAGUCCAAUCGGAAGAAAAAAAUUUGAGACGUGGUUCUUUGUUUGGAAUUUUUGGGUUAUGAAAUAAUAGAAAACGAUUUAAUAUGAAACCAGAGCGAAAUCGAUCAAUCAUCAUCGACUGAGGCAAAAUGCAAUUGUGCUGUUCAACGACUCACGACACAACAACGCGAUUUUAAUUGGAAAGUACACGCAACGGUACGCGGCCCCCCCGCGGGGCUCUUAUUCUUACGCCAACUAUUGCGUAUACGAAAAAGCCGUGUUAUUGCAACAAUUUACUCCUUAGAAAGUCACCUAACCUUUGACACUUUGACUUAUUCUCCACAUUUGAACGAUUUUCCGCGUUUUAAACAUUACAUCACCUUUAAAAAAGUCACAUUUUAACCGUUUUUGAGGUUAAAAAACUGAUUCUUUUUUGAUAUCCAUGUUCAUUAAUUCCUCUCCUCUUAUGGAAUGCGUUCUACAACGAGUUGAAAAGGAGAGAGGUCCAAAGAAAGAUCAAAAAGUCGAGAUUAUAAAUUGCUCCGGUUUAAUACCAGGUGGAAUGCGGACCGUGAACGCGUAUCCAAGAGCGACCACAUCAGCAAAGAAGAGAAACGGGGCCCCGACACAUACACACACGCACGCGCGGAAUCGACUCGUGUAAGAUCUUUUUAUGCGGCUACUACACCACAAGUCUGGACGCUCUCCCUGUGGCCCUUAAUAAUCUCCGGUCUAAAUGGGCGUGCAUUUGAGGUGGUCCCCCGGGAAACAACCCCGCCGCACCAGCUGGAAAUCCAAACCCAGCGGCAGGAUUACCAGCAGGAUUAUUGGCUAAAAAUCCCGGAUAUCCUUGCGGCGUACCAGCACCACUUUCUAAUAAUCCAGGGGGCGGCGCUGCGGGUCUAUGGGGCAUCAUCAAGGCGUGAGCGGCUGCAACACAAGCGACUUCUUCCCUUAAUUGUUGAGGAGGACGUUGAAGGGGUUUCGAUCGAUGGAGGUGGCUUUUGAGGUGGAUCGCGGGAUUCCCCGCUGCCGGAUCGGAUUAAAUCGGUUGUACUUAAAAGCGGAUGCAUCUCCGAUUGGUAAAUUAACGGAUGGACGUUUCUCGUUGGCACAACAGGUACGAAAGCCGAUGAUUCUCGAUGAUGGCUCAUUUUUCUUUCUUCGUAUAAAAACCUGAAACAAAAAAAAUUUAU
This 2537-nucleotide long non-coding RNA is filed under the name Onthophagus taurus. RNAcentral's name for it is "uncharacterized LOC111413967, transcript variant X2". Lineage: Eukaryota; Metazoa; Arthropoda; Insecta; Coleoptera; Scarabaeidae. The record is from RNAcentral.